CUAGGCUCCGUUACAGUUAGGCCUAGAUUAGCAUCUCUGCACGUUCUUUUGGCGCCUUCACCUGAGCAUAGGAGGCUACGUUAUCCAUUUGAAUUGACGGAGUACAGGCAAUUUGAAAUUUUACCGCAUACCUGCUGCCACUGCCAGACAAAAAAGAAACGUCGACACUUGUGGUUAAACGCAAUAAAACAAGCGGACUGGACAGAAACGAUCAUCAAAAAUGCUCGCGUAUGCGGUGCACACUUCAUAUCAGGCACUUCAUGUUCCAACCACUGAACGAACAAACCUAAUAUGGCUGCAGGUUUGCAACAGCACUAACACGGAUCUGCACGCCUGCCAGUUGGUCCCUGCAAGCCAUUAACCGUAAUCAAUACUUAACACUGAUAAAAAUGAUGACUUUUGCAUGAUUAUUUUAUCUUUCUAUCUUUUUGUAAGUAUUGCCUGAUAAAGUCUGUUGUGGAUGGAAAUAUUUGUAACUGUAUGAAUGAGGGAUAAAGUCAGUAAGUCUGUUCAUUCAAUAAAACAGUCACAAAUCUU
This is a long non-coding RNA of Micropterus dolomieu (smallmouth bass), 537 nucleotides long. RefSeq lists it as uncharacterized. The transcript is spliced from 3 exons. The record is from RefSeq and is a predicted model, not a curated record. Lineage: Eukaryota; Metazoa; Chordata; Actinopteri; Centrarchiformes; Centrarchidae.